This 589-nucleotide ribosomal RNA is filed under the name Diaporthe phaseolorum var. meridionalis. Its description in RNAcentral is "eukaryotic LSU rRNA". It matches the Rfam family "Eukaryotic large subunit ribosomal RNA", at positions 36 to 650 of the family's 3401-position model. Lineage: Eukaryota; Fungi; Ascomycota; Sordariomycetes; Diaporthales; Diaporthaceae. The record is from RNAcentral.
AAGCAUAUCAAUAAGCGGAGGAAAAGAAACCAACAGGGAUUGCCCUAGUAACGGCGAGUGAAGCGGCAACAGCUCAAAUUUGAAAUCUGGCCUCGGCCCGAGUUGUAAUUUGCAGAGGAUGCUUCUGGCGCGGUGCCUUCCGAGUUCCCUGGAACGGGACGCCACAGAGGGUGAGAGCCCCGUAUGGUCGGACACCAAGCCUGUGUGAAGCUCCUUCGACGAGUCGAGUAGUUUGGGAAUGCUGCUCUAAAUGGGAGGUAAAUCUCUUCUAAAGCUAAAUACCGGCCAGAGACCGAUAGCGCACAAGUAGAGUGAUCGAAAGAUGAAAAGCACCUUGAAAAGGGGGUUAAAUAGUACGUGAAAUUGUUGAAAGGGAAGCACUUGUGACCAGACUUGGGCCGGGCGGCUCAUCAGGGGUUCUCCCCUGUGCACUCCGCCCGGCACAGGCCAGCAUCGGUUCUCGCGGGGGGAUAAGACCGCCGGGAACGUAGCACCCUCCGGGGUGUGUUAUAGCCCGGCGGACGAUACCCCCGCGGGGACCGAGGUCCGCGCUCCGCAAGGAUGCUGGCGUAAUGGUCACCAGUGACCC